This 497-nucleotide ribosomal RNA is filed under the name uncultured bacterium. RNAcentral describes it as "partial 16S ribosomal RNA". It matches the Rfam family "Bacterial small subunit ribosomal RNA", at positions 28 to 507 of the family's 1533-position model. The record is from RNAcentral.
GAUGAACGCUGGCGGCGUGCCUAAUACAUGCAAGUCGAGCGAACAGACGAGGAGGUGGCUCCUCGGACGUUAGCGGCGGACGAGUCAUGAACACGUGGAUAACCUACCUAGAAGACUCCGAGAACUCCGGGAAACAGGAGCGAAUACCGGAUGAUAUAUUUAAGUGCAUGGUUCAAUAGUGAAAGACGGGUUUGCUGUCACUGAUAGAUCGAUCCGCGCCGCAUUAGCUAGUUGACCAGGUAACGGCUUACCAAGGCAACGAUGGGUAGCCGACCUGAGAGGGGGAUAGGCGACCCGGGAACGGAGACAGGGUCAAGACUCCUGAGGGAGGGCGCAGUAGGGAAUCGGCCGCAAUGGGGGAGAGCCUGACGGAGCAACGCGGAGUGAGUGAUGAAGGUGUUGGGUUCGUAAAACUCUGUUAUUAGGGAAGAACAAAUGUGUAAGUAAAUAUGCAGGAAUUGACGGUACCUAAUGAGAAAGCCACGGCUAACUACGUG